This 4738-nucleotide long non-coding RNA is filed under the name Zea mays. Its description in RNAcentral is "long non-coding RNA (ZMAY_LNC004328)". The record is from RNAcentral. Lineage: Eukaryota; Viridiplantae; Streptophyta; Magnoliopsida; Poales; Poaceae.
AAUCGCCUACCGCACAAUCGGCUUCUAAUAGAGUCGCAUAUCGUACAUACAAAAAUAAAACAUACACAAAUAAAUAAACAUGCACCAUUUCAUAAACAUACACCAUUACAUGCACAUUAACACGUCACACUAAUCACAUCUUAAUUACGUACUAAUCGCGUAAAUACUUAUUAAUUCAAUUAUAGCUAUUAAUGUGAAUCCUAAUGGUGAAUUUAUGAGUGGUGUAAUAAAUAUAGUUUAAAUAUAUUUUAACAUCAUUAAUAAAAAUAAAUAAUAUUUAUUGUCUUUUAAUACUAAUAAAUAAAUUAAUACCUUUUAUCUCUCUUUAUUUCUAACUCAAAUUAUUGAACAUUGCAAAAAUGAAUAUAAUAUUCUAAAAAUCCUUAUAAACUACUAAUUGAACAUUUUCUAACACUAGCGAGGUUAAUUGACAUAAACUAGUACUCUAACAAUUUUAAGUUCUAAAUCUGCGAACAUUUUUAUUUGACUAGCAAAAACCUAUUUUUCCAUCUACUAAUGAUAUUUUCUCCCUUCUUUCUAUAAAGAAAAUGUUAACAAAAUAAUUAACUAAAUCAUCUAGAAAUCCUAUAUUAUUCAUAUAACAUGAGAUCUAUAUCAAUUUCUAAAAACCAUUAAAAUGCACUUAUAACUAUAAUUCUCCAAGUAGUUUCUAAAAUUUAUCGUGACCAAAUUUGACUAUAAAUUCUUAUCUAGUAUUUUUAUCACCAACGUGUGACUAUUAAAUCUACGUCAUAUUUCUCUAAACCAAAAUUCCACACCACGACUAACAUGAAAUGUAACGGUGCACUAAAUAAUCGCAUAUCUCCAACAAAUUCCAUACCGCACACAUAUACAUAAAUCAGAAUCACAUGUGUUCAUAUUACAAUAAACCAAAAUAUACAACUCAUGAAUCGAAUCAAAAAGUACUUUUAUAAAAUACACAAAUUAAAUUUGGGUCGUCAUCAACCUUAGGUUCGCGUGUGUGACGGGGAUGGAUCGACGGGUUUCGAUCGGGUGGAGAGCGAGGCUCGACUACGGACGGCGAAUGCGUGGCUCCGGUGAACUCCGGCGAUGAACGACACACUCCGGCGAACACCACGGGCUCCGGUGACGAACGGCAACGAACGACGAGCGGCACUAGCGAUGAGCGAGGAGCACUAGAGAAAGAGACGAGCUUGGGUAGGAGAGUAUGGAGAGGGUCUCUGCUGCCUUUUAUAGAGAGAGGGAGGGGAGAGGAGAGGUCACUGCCAGAGAGAGCUUCAAUGGGGCGUUGCUGUCCUUCAUGGCCAUCACUAGCUACGUUACCAGAGAAUAACGAGGGAGAGAGUAAUGGAGAGGAGGGAGAAAUGGAAGAAAUAAAUCUCCAUAACGCAAGAAACAGUCGCGGCUCGUCGGGCUCGGACGGAUGGCGCGCUGCUCGGAAACGGGCGCGGGGAGGCCGGCGUCGCGUGCGUUGGGCUCGGUGUCGCUCACGCUGGGGCUCGCGCGCUGGUUGCUCGGCGUCGCUGCUUGCGUGCAGGGCCGGCUAGUGUAGGCUUAGUUUUUUUUUUUAAAUUCCGAAAUACCUUUCUAUAUAGCUCAAAAAUUUAUAAAACUUCACCAAAAUUAUUUAUCAAUAACAUAUUCAUUUUUACACUAAUAAUCAUUAUAUUAUAUAAUUAUUAUAUUAACUACUAGGAUCUCUUUUUACGAAUACCUGAUAAUAAACAUCCGAUAAUCAAUCAAGCGCACACAACGAAAAUUGAUUCAAAAUGCAAAUAAAUAAUUAAACACUUAAAAAAAGUUAUGACCCUAAUUAAUAUAAUAACUAAAUUCAUUAUUUUUAUUUGAUGGCUUUUGUGGUGUUACAGGAGGCCAUCAGUCGCAAUUGGGAAUGAAGUGCAAGCAUGCCUAAUGGCCUUCAACACCAUAUGCACCUACAUUGGUACUAGAGAUUUAGUUCAAGAGCACAUUGUUUUCAAUGUAUGGCCUCUUGCAAAUGAAUGGGAAAUGAGGAAGGAAGCUGCCGCUGGCUCCAGCCAAAGGGGCUUGGUUUAUCUCAAGUACACCUUCCGGUACAGAAGCCAAUUUGAUGAGCCAAAUGAUGACUGGCUAGACGCUAUAGAGGCAACGAGUGAUGAGCUACUUGGAGCCUACUCGAGGACAGAAGACGAAGACAUGAUAGUUGCCUUCGGCGCUUGUGGGAAAAAGAGGCUGAACAGGGUCUUUGAUGUUAUUGGGUUUGUCUACUGUCACACCUGGAUUUAAGGGAUAAAGUCGGGUACGUCUCAUAUGUGCGCCAAGGAAGAACAACACAUAUAAUAACAGAGUGUAUAGAGACAAAUGUCACAAUAUCAUGAAAGUGAUUAUUACAUAGCGGAAUUGUUACAAAAAUAAAUUAUAAAUAUAAAACGAACUAAGAGUCCAUCCAAGGCACCAUAAAGCUGACUGAGAGACGCCACCUAGAUCAAAUCAUACUCCUCGUUGUACGGCUCCUAAUGGACGCCUUGUUCUUCUCCUAUGGGGGUUAUAUAUCGCAAGUGUGAGCUCACAAAAGAUCAUAGCUCAACAAGUUAUGGGGAAUAAUGUGCAAGAAGUCACCAAAGGUGGAGUUCAUAUGAUGUGUAAGGCUGAUCAACAAUAGGGCUUAAAGCUGAGCAUUGCUUUUAAUAAGUUGGUCAAAUUUUAUUAACAAUUACUGGAUGUAAGUAAAUACCAAACCAUAAUAAUAAUAGAACAAACUUAAUAAUAAAUCCCAUGCAAUGAAAAUAACAAAUUGAAUUUAGUUCCAUAAUUUAAUCAUGCGAGAGUCCUGAGCUGCUCAUGACCGCGAGCACGGCUAGUAUACCAGUUUUACACUCUGCAGAGGUUGUACCCUGUACCCACAAGUCAUGUUACCCAUCUGCCAAGGGGUCAUGAAUCCCAUACAUCUCUACCAAGGAGGCGAGGCAGGGUAACACUACGAGGCCUUUACAAAGUUCCACUAGCUUCAGAAAACCUGCUAUAGUUCUAGGAAGAGUAAUGCAUGAAUCCCCCGUCUGACCUCCAUCGAAGCAAAAUCAACCCGGGAACCUCCCUACACGCCUACUCCCCUACUGCCCUUGCCCCUAUCGGGUAAGGUAGUCCUCCACUAGCUUUCCUAGUUAGUCAGCUAAGGGCGUCCCAUUCCACCCUUGUGGUGGCACGUGUUUCUCAAGUUAAGCUCCAUGGUCCAAUUAAAAAAUAAUGGUCUUGACAUGAACAAUAAAUAAAAUUACAGUAUAAUUGGAACAUGAUCAUAAUGUGAUAUUAAACCCAAAACCAUAUAGACCAAUAGCAAAACUACCCAAAUAAUUCAGGGGUGAACAAGGUAAAAAGAUAACCAGACUAGGCUGGCCUAUUGGGUCCCAUCAAAAUUAAGCCUAUGCAUGGAUAAGUGAUAAUAAAGAACAUUAUUGGGUAACAAAAGUGGUCAAGGGCAUAAAUUGCCUUCAAUGAGCUCCUGCUCAGCAACUUCUACAUGCUGAACACCCGGAUCCUUGGCCACUGCUCUUCUACUCGCCACAAUACAAUCAAGCAUAGUAUAAAAGGAGAAAUUAACAUCACACCAAACAUGUAUACAAAAUACAUAUUAAUAAUCUACACAUUAAAAUAAGAUCAUAGGAAAAACAAUCACUAAAUUCGGAGUUACAGAUAUUUAGUUAUGAAUUUCCGAAGGUUUUAUGUAUUUGAUACAAUAUUAAUUAAGAGAUCAAUUUUAAUACAGUUUUCAUGUCAAAAUAGAGAUGCUAUGUGAUGAACAAUAUUAUUAGAAAAUUACGGGAACUGGAAUGGACUAAAAAGAAAUUAAAAUGAAUUUUAUAUGCAUUUUACAAGUUUCUAGAAUUAUUUUGUAUUAAAAAUCAAUUUCUAUAAUUAAUUCUAUAAUUUCUCUGGUUUCUGGACUGGCGCAUAAAUACAGAUAAGUACAGGGGUUAAUGCGCGAAAAGUCCUAAGACUUAGUGUGCCUGACUCUGGACCGCGGGUUGAUUCCCUAAAAACUAAGGGGCCAAUUUGUUAGCUCGACCGACUAAAAGGGUAUCUACGGAUCUGGGCUACCAGAUCUAAAACCUGUGGCCAGGAUUAGAUCGGGUAUACAAUGAAACGGUAGCGGCGCCCACCGUUCGAUUAUUGGUCAACGACCUAGGUUUAACACUCCUAGCAUGGCCCCAGAGACGCCCGAUCGAGCUCCGAGGGCGCGAAUGCAACAGCCCAAAGGGGUACGCCAUACUCUAAUCCUACUCGUACGUGUGCAAUCCGACGGCUACGGUAGCGUCUUCUUCCUUAGCGCCAGACGACGGUCACGACCGUGCGGCAAUAGCGGCGACAUUACCGGUGUAAGCCGAUUCUGGCCCAUGGUGCCCUACCGAGCUUCUAAUCCGACUCCAGACGAAGCGAAAGAUCAUACUAACAUAUGAAUGGGACCUUACCAUAAUAGAAGUGGUGAGGUGCUCGUCGAUCCGCCGAAACGAGUCCGCGGCGACGCUGAAUUCCGAUGAGAAAUUCUCGGUCAAAUCCGGCUUCCCGGUUCCCAUGGCUUCCUCGACUCGUUACCCACUUCUCCCGCGCACACUCCCCUGUUCGCCAAUCGUCCCUGUGAAUGAUGAAUCGCGCAGCGGCACAACCCUCCCCUGCUCUAGUUCCUGGCGUUAGGCAAAACCGUCCUCGGACGAUGGGGCGCAUGAGCUUAUAUCAUCCCUGAGUCCGCGAGAUGACCGACAGCCCAUGAACGGCAUACCAC